UUUAAUAAAAUUGUGUGUUUUAUUUUGAUUCCUAUUUUUGUUUCUUAUUUUUUAAAAUAACAUUACUAUAUGUUUAUACUGUAAAAUAAAAUUCUUUCAGUUAAUUAAAAUACGAAACAACUCAACAAUAGAAAAUAGGUAAUUAAAUACUUUUAAAAAUAACAAUUCUUUGGUUUUUGAUUUGAUUUUAUUUUUUUUUUGUAUGAGUGGCCUGCAUACUUGAGUCUAUGCAAUGUGUGUAUGCAGUGUUCACUGAGGCUAGAGGAUGGAGUUGGAUUCCCUGACACUGGAAUUGAGCCAUCAUAUAGGGGUUGUGAAUCCAGCCUGGAUCCUCUGCAAUAGUAGCUGGUGCUUUUAGCCACCGAAUAAGUUCCAGCCCUACUUCUAAAAUUUUAAAUGAAAAGUUGUGUCAGUUUUGCCUAUGUCUAAUUCUCUUAGAUCUUGAGGCCUUAUUAUGUUGAAAAUCUUGGCUUCUACAUGCAGUACAGAUACAGUUUUUUUUAUAAUGUAUCCAUCAGGGUCAUAUCAUAUAUUUGUAAGUAUUAUAUAUUAUACGUGUUUUUAAAAAUAAAAUCUUUCCUUGG
Molecule: long non-coding RNA, 584 nt
Filed under: Mus musculus (house mouse)
Lineage: Eukaryota; Metazoa; Chordata; Mammalia; Rodentia; Muridae
Description: long non-coding RNA chr7:59292517-59293101
Source: RNAcentral